AGGCCUGUUAAACAAACCCCGCCGUCGAGCGUCGUUGGAGGAUAUUCCGGCAACGAUCUCCCGCAUGUCCUUGCUGCAAAUCGAUACCAUCAAUAUUGUUGCCCGUAGUCCAUAUCUGGUGCUUUUCAGUCGUCUGGGAAAUUAUCCUGCCCAGUGGCUGGAUGAGUCUCUGGCGCGUGGCGAAUUAAUGGAAUACUGGGCGCAUGAAGCCUGCUUUAUGCCGCGUAGCGACUUUCGUCUUAUUCGCCACCGCAUGCUGGCACCUGAAAAAAUGGGCUGGAAAUACAAAGACGCCUGGAUGCAGGAACAUGAGGCGGAAAUUGCACAGUUAAUUCAGCAUAUUCAUGAUAAGGGGCCGGUACGUUCAGCCGAUUUUGAGCAUCCUCGUAAAGGUGCAAGCGGCUGGUGGGAAUGGAAGCCGCAUAAACGGCAUCUGGAAGGUUUAUUUACUGCCGGAAAGGUGAUGGUGAUUGAACGGCGCAACUUCCAGCGCGUUUAUGAUUUAACCCACCGUGUCAUGCCUGACUGGGAUGAUGAGCGCGAUCUCGUUUCGCAACAGAAGCAGAAAUCAUCAUGCUGG
This 580-nucleotide ribosomal RNA is filed under the name uncultured bacterium. RNAcentral describes it as "partial 16S ribosomal RNA". The record is from RNAcentral.